This is a non-coding RNA of Petromyzon marinus (sea lamprey), 885 nucleotides long. Lineage: Eukaryota; Metazoa; Chordata; Hyperoartia; Petromyzontiformes; Petromyzontidae. The record is from RefSeq and is a predicted model, not a curated record.
CACUCUCUGCAGAGGGCAAUCAAGAUGGCUGUGCCCCAGGAAGGUACAGAACCGAAACCAACAUUUGCUGCCAGCUGUGCCCCCCAGGGACAGCGAAGGUUGAAGACUGCUCAUUUGAGGAACAUUUCCCAGUCUGCCUUUCAUGUAGCGACGGAUCAACAUUCACUGACUCGGCAAAUAACCUUACCAGCUGCCAAGGAUGCAGAGUCUGCGACGAGCAAAGGGAGGUUGUUCAGCAUAAGUGCAUCACCACUGGCGACACGGUGUGCGAGUGUGUGGAAGGAAUGCACAGACCAAGCCAGUCCGAGCCGUGCGAGGUUCUUAAAGGUGAGACCGGCGCCGGAUUUAGGCAAGAUAACGAUUAACUUGGUUUCUGCAGCGCUAUUCGCACAGGGUCUCAAAGAGCUUUGUGUGCAAGUAUGUGCGUUGAACUUCUUUGCACCGUACGUAAGCCAACCAUGAUAAUUGGAGGUGUGGGGGAAGGACAACAAACUAAACACAACAACAACAAGCAGUUCUAUAGUAAUGAGCUCCAUGUCGAGUUUUGGAGAAAGCCUGCAGUAAAAAACGGGUGAGAAUCAGCAGAUGUACGGUUUUUUCGCAGUGGAAUAUAAAACUUAAGUAGAUUGGUGGUCAGAUAUUUAGGAGCCAACUCAUUGAAGCUAAAUAAGCUACAGCUUAGGGCAUCACAUUAUCAAGGGGGGGCUCUAAAUUCCCCAAAAUAAUACAUUUACAGUUUUACAUAAUCGGUUGAAAAUUAAGGAGGUAGGGGAAAAAUUACUGUCUAGAGCGGUUAUUUUCAUUCGGAUAUGACAACAAAUAUACAGGCAUUACUCGAUAAUAGAGUUUAUUUGGGUUAGAUCGCGUAAAUAUAUAAAUGUGUCA